This 253-nucleotide unclassified non-coding RNA is filed under the name uncultured Pirellulaceae bacterium. RNAcentral's name for it is "contains 16S-23S intergenic spacer region". It matches the Rfam family "Bacterial small subunit ribosomal RNA", at positions 524 to 776 of the family's 1533-position model. Lineage: Bacteria; Pseudomonadati; Planctomycetota; Planctomycetia; Pirellulales; Pirellulaceae. The record is from RNAcentral.
UACGAACCGGACAAACGUUAUUCGGAAUCACUGGGCUUAAAGAGUGCGUAGGCGGCCUGUCAAGUUGGGUGUGAAAUCCCUCGGCUCAACCGAGGAACUGCGCUCAAGACUGGCAGGCUUGAGGAAGACAGGGGUGAGCGGAACUGAUGGUGGAGCGGUGAAAUGCGUUGAUAUCAUCAGGAACACCAGUGGCGAAGGCGGCUCACUGGGUCUUUACUGACGCUGAGGCACGAAAGCUAGGGUAGCGAACGGG